This 253-nucleotide ribosomal RNA is filed under the name uncultured bacterium. RNAcentral's name for it is "partial 16S ribosomal RNA". It matches the Rfam family "Bacterial small subunit ribosomal RNA", at positions 524 to 776 of the family's 1533-position model. The record is from RNAcentral.
UACGUAGGGGGCGAGCGUUGUCCGGAGUUACUGGGCGUAAAGGGCAUGCAGGCGGUCGGACGCGUUUCGGGUGACAGCGGGUGGCUUAACUACCCGAGUGGUCGAAAGACGGUUUGACUUGAGGACGCGAGAGGGACACGGAAUUCCGGGUGGAGUGGUGAAAUGCGUAGAGAUCCGGAGGAACACCGAAGGCGAAGGCAGUGUCCUGGCGCGUAACUGACGCUGAGGUGCGAAAGCCAGGGGAGCGAACAGG